This 375-nucleotide long non-coding RNA is filed under the name Bos taurus (domestic cattle). RNAcentral describes it as "long non-coding RNA NONBTAT023007". The record is from RNAcentral. Lineage: Eukaryota; Metazoa; Chordata; Mammalia; Artiodactyla; Bovidae.
CAAAAUAAAUGCAAAAUUUAAUGAAAAAAAUGAGUACAAAGUGAAUGGAAAGGAACAAAAACAGUCAAUGAAUGAAGGAAUAAAUGAAUUAACAAGUGAAGCAGUUUUAGAGAAGCAUGUUAACGUAACAGACUAGCAAGCCACACUUCCCUCGGGCCUCUUAUCCAGUAACAGGAGCCCCACUUAACAGGGAACCCACACAAAGACAUACACAACAUAUAUGGAGUUGGUCUGCACAAGCAAAGACCACCUAGACUCAGGUUCCCCAUAAUCUUUUAAGCUCACCUUGUGCACCAAAGAUUAAUUUGGUCUCAGCUAAAAAUGACAAAAUUCUAAACACAAACAGCAUGAGAGAAAAGUGCAGUGAGGCUCACU